AUCGGAAUUACUGGGCGUAAAGAGUGCGUAGGCGGUCCCGCACGUCCGCUGUGAAAGCCCCGGGCUUAACCUGGGAAUGGCAGUGGAAACUAUGGGACUUGAAUCUGGCAGAGGGGGGUGGAAUGCCACGUGUAGCAGUGAAAUGCGUAGAGAUGUGGCGGAACACCGAUGGCGAAGGCAGCCCCCUGGGCUGAGAUUGACGCUCAGGCACGAAAGCGUGGGGAGCAAACAGG
This 233-nucleotide ribosomal RNA is filed under the name uncultured bacterium. Its description in RNAcentral is "partial 16S ribosomal RNA". It matches the Rfam family "Bacterial small subunit ribosomal RNA", at positions 544 to 776 of the family's 1533-position model. The record is from RNAcentral.